GCGCCUCCGCUGGCCCGCGUGAAACCCUCUCUGCUGCCUCGACUGACUGUCGUUUCCGUGUCUUGAUUGUGGCCUCUGCCUCUCCCCCUUCCGAUUUCGUUCGACUUCUUUCUACAGUUACUAAGCGCCCACUGUGUGCCCUGGAAGGGACUAGACUCAGCAGGAAAAACAUCCAGGCAAGUGGACAGCAUUUGCAACAGCCCAGCAAUAAGAAGGACCAUAUUCUACUUGGGAAAAGGUAAAGUCGUUUCAUAUGGACGGAGAUGUUGUCGCUUGAAAUGUCAGGAAGUUUCCAUUCAUCACCCGCCCUUGAAAAUGCCACCAUCACCAUACUUCAUGUUUCCUUGCUUUCUUUCUUCAGAGGAAUCCAAGCACCUUGCAGAGGGAGCCCACUCCUUGUCACAGACUCUCCUGGAGGCUGAAACAGGGGCAGUCUGCACAGAGGAGAGGUGUAGAGAGGCGCGAUUUAGAAAUAAGAAAACCAAAUCGUAAAGAAGCCUAAUGUCUUGUUGCAACAUCUGAAAGAAACAAGAUGAAUAUAUUCCACUAGGUGGGAAGCUUAGGGUAGUGGGAAGAACAUGGAUUCAGGACUUUGAGAAACAUGGAUUUAAAUUUUGAUCCCCAAUGCCUCUCUGCACUUCACUGUUAUCUAUAAAAUAGAGGAAAUAAAAAUACUAUACAUUCAAGUCUUAACACCAACAGUUAACUAGUUGUGUAACCUUGGACAAGUUAUGUGACCUCUCUGUCUGAGCAUUGUCAUUUGUAUAUGAGAUCAUGGAGGUUAAAUGUCCAACCUGUUGUCACUGUGCACCUCAAAAUAAUAAAUAAAACAUUUCAUCUCUCAA
Long non-coding RNA from Homo sapiens (human), 845 nucleotides. Ensembl annotates it as FGGY divergent transcript. Its record names the gene FGGY-DT. Lineage: Eukaryota; Metazoa; Chordata; Mammalia; Primates; Hominidae. The record is from Ensembl.